Molecule: ribosomal RNA, 634 nt
Filed under: uncultured organism
Description: bacterial SSU rRNA
Rfam family: Bacterial small subunit ribosomal RNA
Source: RNAcentral
AGUCGAACGGUAAGUUAGUUGCUUGCAACUAACACGAGUGGCGCACGGGUGAGUAACGCGUACGCGACCUGCCCUCAAGAGGGAAAUAGCCCUGGGAAACCGGGAUUAAUGUCCCAUGUGAUUGUAUUUCUAAGGGAUAUAGUUAAAGGAGCGAUCCGCUUGAGGAUGGGCGUGCGUGCUAUUAGCUAGUUGGUGAGGUAAUGGCUCACCAAGGCGACGAUAGCUAGGGGGCGUGAGAGCGUGACCCCCCACACGGGUACUGAGACACGGACCCGACUCCUACGGGAGGCAGCAGUAAGGAAUAUUGGACAAUGGGGGCAACCCUGAUCCAGCCAUCCCGCGUGCAGGAAGACGGCCCUAUGGGUUGUAAACUGCUUUUAUUAGGGAAGAAUAGCAUCAAUGAAUUGGUGUAUGACGGUACCUAAAGAAUAAGCACCGGCUAACUCCGUGCCAGCAGCCGCGGUAAUACGGAGGGUGCAAGCGUUAUCCGGAAUCACUGGGUUUAAAGGGUGCGUACGUGGAAUAAUAAGUCAGGCGUGAAAGGUUACAGCUUAACUGUAGACUUGCGUUUGAUACUGUUAUUCUUGAAUUAAGAUGAGGUUGGCAGAAUGCGACAUGUAGCGGUGAAAUGCAU